This 568-nucleotide ribosomal RNA is filed under the name uncultured bacterium. Its description in RNAcentral is "bacterial SSU rRNA". It matches the Rfam family "Bacterial small subunit ribosomal RNA", at positions 9 to 573 of the family's 1533-position model. The record is from RNAcentral.
GAGUUUGAUCCUGGCUCAGGAUGAACGCUAGCGGCAGGCUUAAUACAUGCAAGUCGAACGGUAAGUUUGGUAGCAAUAUCGAACCUAGAGUGACGUACGGGUGCGUAACACGUAUGCAACCUACCCUUUACAGGAGGAUAGCUCGGGGAAACUCGAAUUAACCCUCCAUAAUAUUAUUGAAUGGCAUCAUUUGAUAAUUAAAACUCAGGUGGUAAAGGAUGGGCAUGCGUCUGAUUAGUUAGUUGGCGGGGUAACGGCCCACCAAGACGAUGAUCAGUAGGGGACCUGAGAGGGUGAUCCCCCACACUGGCACUGAGAUACGGGCCAGACUCCUACGGGAGGCAGCAGUAGGGAAUAUUGGUCAAUGGAUGCAAGUCUGAACCAGCCAUGCCGCGUGCAGGAAGAAGGCCUUCUGGGUUGUAAACUGCUUUUACCAGGGGAUAAAACUCUCAUGCGUGAGAAAUUGAAGGUACCUGGUGAAUAAGCCACGGCUAACUACGUGCCAGCAGCCGCGGUAAUACGUAGGUGGCAAGCGUUGUCCGGAUUUAUUGGGUUUAAAGGGUGCGUA